Non-coding RNA from Myotis lucifugus (little brown bat), 73 nucleotides. Lineage: Eukaryota; Metazoa; Chordata; Mammalia; Chiroptera; Vespertilionidae. The record is from Rfam.
GGAGGUUCUCGGGUGAUGCACACCAGAAUCGGGCUCCCCCCCUCUGUUCUGGAUGCGUCACCCAAGAACCGCA